Molecule: ribosomal RNA, 396 nt
Filed under: uncultured bacterium
Lineage: Bacteria
Description: partial 16S ribosomal RNA
Rfam family: Bacterial small subunit ribosomal RNA
Source: RNAcentral
AUACGUAGGUGGCAAGCGUUAUCCGGAUUUACUGGGUGUAAAGGGCGUGUAGGCGGGUCAGCAAGUCAGAUGUGAAAACCCGGGGCUUAACCCCGGGAGUGCAUCUGAGACUGUCGAUCUUGAGUACCGGAGAGGAAAGUGGAAUUCCCAGUGUAGCGGUGAAAUGCGUAGAGAUUGGGAGGAACACCAGUGGCAAGGCGGCUUUCUGGACGGUAACUGACGCUGAGGCGCGAAAGCGUGGGGAGCAAACAGGAUUAGAUACCCUGGUAGUCCACGCUGUAAACGAUGAAUACUAGGUGUAGGGGGUAUCAACUCCCUCUGUGCCGCAGCAAACGCAAUAAGUAUUCCACCUGGGGAGUACGACCGCAAGGUUGAAACUCAAAUGAAUUGACGGGG